UGGUGGAAUGAUUUGUCUGUUUAAUUACGAUAACGAACGAGAUGAUCAUGGAAAAUAGGAAGAUUAAAUGAGAAUUUGAUGCUAUCCUUCUCUUCCAGAUUAAUGGAUUAAAGCCAUUUGAAAUGAUCGCAAUAACA
RNAcentral lists this ribosomal RNA (137 nucleotides) under uncultured eukaryote. RNAcentral describes it as "partial 18S ribosomal RNA". It matches the Rfam family "Eukaryotic small subunit ribosomal RNA", at positions 1299 to 1458 of the family's 1831-position model. The record is from RNAcentral.